CGAGGGGCAGCAUUUCAGUUUGCUUGCAAACUGGAGAUGGCGACCGGCGCACGGGUGAGUAACACGUAUCCAACCUGCCGAUAACUCGGGGAUAGCCUUUCGAAAGAAAGAUUAAUACCCGAUGGUAUAAUCAGACCGCAUGGUCUUGUUAUUAAAGAAUUUCGGUUAUCGAUGGGGAUGCGUUCCAUUAGGCAGUUGGUGAGGUAACGGCUCACCAAACCUUCGAUGGAUAGGGGUUCUGAGAGGAAGGUCCCCCACAUUGGAACUGAGACACGGUCCAAACUCCUACGGGAGGCAGCAGUGAGGAAUAUUGGUCAAUGGGCGCAGGCCUGAACCAGCCAAGUAGCGUGAAGGAUGACUGCCCUAUGGGUUGUAAACUUCUUUUAUAUAAGAAUAAAGUGCAGUAUGUAUACUGUUUUGUAUGUAUUAUAUGAAUAAGGAUCGGCUAACUCCGUGCCAGCAGCCGCGGUAAUACGGAGGAUCCGAGCGUUAUCCGGAUUUAUUGGGUUUAAAGGGAGCGUAGGUGGACUGGUAAGUCAGUUGUGAAAGUUUGCGGCUCAACCGUAAAAUUGCAGUUGAUACUGUCAGUCUUGAGUACAGUAGAGGUGGGCGGAAUUCGUGGUGUAGCGGUGAAAUGCUUAGAUAUCACGAAGAACUCCGAUU
Molecule: ribosomal RNA, 663 nt
Filed under: uncultured Bacteroidales bacterium
Lineage: Bacteria; Pseudomonadati; Bacteroidota; Bacteroidia; Bacteroidales
Description: bacterial SSU rRNA
Rfam family: Bacterial small subunit ribosomal RNA
Source: RNAcentral